UUUUGGUAAUUUUCUUGGGGGUUGGAGUGAUCAAUGUUUGGAUGCGGGAUUGAUGUGUAGUCUAGGGAUGGACAUAAAUAUGUUUAUUCUUGUGGUGUUUGACAUGUAUAAUGUGUUGGUUGUUGUGGUGUUUGAUAUGUGUAGUUUGUUUGUUGUUAUAGUGUUUGAUGUAUGUAGUUUGUUUGUUGAGAUGAAGGGUAUUGUGUUUAUUGUUAGAAAUGGUGG
This 225-nucleotide long non-coding RNA is filed under the name Lathyrus oleraceus (garden pea). RNAcentral describes it as "Pisum sativum (pea) long non-coding RNA (PSAT_LNC010606)". The record is from RNAcentral. Lineage: Eukaryota; Viridiplantae; Streptophyta; Magnoliopsida; Fabales; Fabaceae.